Molecule: ribosomal RNA, 480 nt
Filed under: uncultured bacterium
Lineage: Bacteria
Description: bacterial SSU rRNA
Rfam family: Bacterial small subunit ribosomal RNA
Source: RNAcentral
UUUCACACAGGUGUUGCAUGGCUGUCGUCAGCUCGUGUCGUGAGAUGUUGGUUAAGUCCCGCAACGAGCGUAACCUCAUCCUUAGUUGCCAUCAGCUAAUGCUGAGCACUUUAAGGAAACUGCUAGUGAUAAACUGGAGGAAGGUGGGGAUGAUGUCAAGUCAUCAUGGCCCUUAUGGAGUGGGCUACACACGUGCUACAAUGGUGGCUACAAUGGGCUGCAAAGUCGCGAGGCCAAGCUAAUCCCUUAAAAGCCAUCUCAGUUCGGAUUGUACUCUGCAACUCGAGUGCAUGAAGUUGGAAUCGCUAGUAAUCGUGGAUCAGCAUGCCACGGUGAAUACGUUCUCGGGUCUUGUACACACUGCCCGUCACGCCAUGGGAAUUGGUUUCACUCGAAGCUAAUGACCUAACCGCAAGGAGGGAGUUAUUUAAAGUGGGAUCAGUGACUGGGGUGAAGUCGUAACAAGGUAGGCGUAGUGCU